RNAcentral lists this microRNA precursor (105 nucleotides) under Biomphalaria glabrata. RNAcentral's name for it is "MIR480 microRNA precursor family". Lineage: Eukaryota; Metazoa; Mollusca; Gastropoda; Planorbidae. The record is from Rfam by way of RNAcentral.
UAAUGUACUAGAUCUUGACUUGUUUAUAAUAGAAUUACAAUUCAUUAUUAGAAUUAUCUAUUCACGGCUCGCGUGAGACAAACAUGGUUUCAUAUAAGUUAUAUA